This 451-nucleotide ribosomal RNA is filed under the name uncultured bacterium. RNAcentral describes it as "bacterial SSU rRNA". It matches the Rfam family "Bacterial small subunit ribosomal RNA", at positions 29 to 506 of the family's 1533-position model. The record is from RNAcentral.
ACGAACGCUGGCGGCGUGCUUAACACAUGCAAGUCGAACGAGGGUAGCAAUACCCUAGUGGCGGACGGGUGAGUAACGCGUAGGUAACCUGCCUCAUAGUGGGGGAUACCCAGUCGAAAGAUUGGCUAAUACCGCAUAAGCUGGUGAUUUGAAAUAGUCAUCAGGAAAGAUUCAUUGCUAUGAGAGGGGCCUGCGUCCGAUUAGCUAGUUGGUGGGGUAAUGGCUCACAAAGGCGACGAUCGGUAGCUGGUCUGAGAGGACGAUCAGCCACACUGGAACUGAGACACGGUCCAGACUCCUACGGGAGGCAGCAGUGGGGAAUUUUCCGCAAUGGGCGAAAGCCUGACGGAGCAACGCCGCGUGGAUGAUGAAGUCUUUCGGGAUGUAAAAUCCUUUCAGCAGGGACGAAGCGAGUGACGGUACCUGCAGAAGAAGCAUCGGCUAACUACGU